GGCGGAGGUUGCAGUUGCAGUUGCAGUGAGCUGAGAUCACGCCACUGCACUCCACUUGGGCGACAGAGCGAGACUCUGUCUCCAAAAAAUAAAUUAGUAAAUAAAAGAUAUGAGUAAAGAUUGCCAAGAAGUUCAUUGGCGGCCUCUGUUUUGUUUUUUGUUUUGUUUUGUUUUGUUUUGUUUUGUUUUUGAACAGUUGCCAGUAGUCAUCAGAGUACCAAAACUGAUCUAUUUCUCAGUAAUGAGUGUGUGCCUCAUGCCUGUUUCAAUAUUGGGUUUUGGAGACAUUAUUGUACCAGGCCUGUUGAUUGCAUACUGUAGAAGAUUU
RNAcentral lists this long non-coding RNA (328 nucleotides) under Homo sapiens (human). RNAcentral's name for it is "non-protein coding lnc-TRPM7-2:3". The record is from RNAcentral. Lineage: Eukaryota; Metazoa; Chordata; Mammalia; Primates; Hominidae.